GGCAAAGUAGCCAAGCGGUCUAAGGCGCCAGGUUCAGGUCCACCUGAAUUGAGCAUCCAAAAGUGUAUCCUGGUCUCAGAAAUGGGGCGCGAGUUCGAAUCUCGUCUUUGUCA
This is a non-coding RNA of Podospora aff. communis PSN243, 113 nucleotides long. NCBI's taxonomy places the organism in Eukaryota, Fungi, Ascomycota, Sordariomycetes, Sordariales, Podosporaceae. The record is from the annotation of a GenBank genome assembly.